UCGGGAAUUUUGGGCAAUGGGGGAAACCCUGACCCAGCAACGCCACGUGAAGGAUGAAGUAUUUCGGUAUGUAAACUUCGAAAGAAUAGGAAGAAUAAAUGACGGUACUAUUUAUAAGGUCCGGCUAACUACGUGCCAGCAGCCGCGGUAAUACGUAGGGACCAAGCGUUGUUCGGAUUUACUGGGCGUAAAGGGCGCGUAGGCGGCAUGACAAGUCACUUGUGAAAUCUCUGGGCUUAACCCAGAACGGCCAAGUGAUACUGUCGCGCUAGAGUGCAGAAGGGGCAAUCGGAAUUCUUGGUGUAGCGGUGAAAUGCGUAGAUAUCAAGAGGAACACCUGAGGUGAAGACGGGUUGCUGGGCUGACACUGACGCUGAGGCGCGAAAGCCAGGGGAGCAAACGGGAUUAGAUACCCACGUAGUCCCUGAGCGGGCUGGCAAGGCGCAU
Molecule: ribosomal RNA, 447 nt
Filed under: uncultured bacterium
Lineage: Bacteria
Description: bacterial SSU rRNA
Rfam family: Bacterial small subunit ribosomal RNA
Source: RNAcentral